RNAcentral lists this ribosomal RNA (730 nucleotides) under uncultured bacterium. Its description in RNAcentral is "bacterial SSU rRNA". It matches the Rfam family "Bacterial small subunit ribosomal RNA", at positions 28 to 776 of the family's 1533-position model. The record is from RNAcentral.
GAUGAACGCUGACAGAAUGCUUAACACAUGCAAGUCGACUUGAAGCAAUUUCGGUUGUGGAAAGUGGCGGACGGGUGAGUAACGCGUAAAGAACUUGCCCUUCAGUCUGGGACAACCAUUGGAAACGAUGGCUAAUACCGGAUAUUAUGGAACUCUCGCAUGGGAGGAUCAUGAAAGCUAUAUGCGCUGAAGGAGAGCUUUGCGUUCCAUUAGCUAGUUGGUGAGGUAACGGCUCACCAAGGCGACGAUGGAUAGCCGGCCUGAGAGGGUGAUCGGCCACAAGGGGACUGAGACACGGCCCUUACUCCUACGGGAGGCAGCAGUGGGGAAUAUUGGACAAUGGACCAAAAGUCUGAUCCAGCAAUUCUGUGUGCACGAUGAAGGUUUUCGGAUCGUAAAGUGCUUUCAGUUGGGAAGAAGAAAGUGACGGUACCAACAGAAGAAGCGACGGCUAAAUACGUGCCAGCAGCCGCGGUAAUACGUAUGUCGCAAGCGUUAUCCGGAUUUAUUGGGCGUAAAGCGCGUCUAGGCGGGUUCAUAAGUCUGAUGUUAAAAUGCGGGGCUCAACUCCGUAUUGCGUUGGAAACUGUGAACCUAGAGUAUCAGAGAGGUGGGCGGAACUACAAGUGUAGAGGUGAAAUUCGUAGAUAUUUGUAGGAAUGCCGAUGGAGAAGUCAGCUCACUGGAUGAAUACUGACGGUAAAGCGCGAAAGCGUGGGUAGCAAACAGG